Molecule: long non-coding RNA, 1245 nt
Filed under: Ananas comosus (pineapple)
Lineage: Eukaryota; Viridiplantae; Streptophyta; Magnoliopsida; Poales; Bromeliaceae
Description: long non-coding RNA (ACOM_LNC039670)
Source: RNAcentral
UGUGUACGCAGCGGAAGAAAAUAACACAAUUAAAAAUUUUCUUGAAAACCAAAAAUCACCUCGUGUUUCGUUUUAGAUCAUUAAUAAUAGAUCUAAUUGAUCUAAUCAAAUAGGAUCUAUAUUUUAUUUUACCUCGCGCGGGUCGAGAUCACCACGAAGUCGACAAUCGUUGGUAAAAUUGUUCGUCCUCGGUUAGCCGCGCACGCGCCCGGCCUCUACUCGCGUCCACACGAAAUCAAGCCCUUGAUCGAAUUAAACGACCGCUUCGAUCCGUGAUCCGAUCACGAAUUAACUCUUGCGUCGACUUGAGGAAGAUGAAUCGAUCUUCUAGAUGUGCUAGCAACUUUUGAAGAUCGAAAACGAUGGAUUUAUUGUGGAGGACUUAAGGAAGAAAAAGGAUUGACGGCUAGGGUUUUCUUUUUCUUUUUGCUUAAUUUUUUUCGUUAAUUUUAAUAUGUCAUAUGACAUAUAUUUAUAAUGAGAAAACCCUAACGUAAUCCUAAUCGAAAUCCUAUUCCGAUUAGAUUAUCCAUUAACCCACAAGUUAGUUAUGAUAUUAACCGAAUUCCGAAUCCUAAUUCUAAUUCGAUUCGUGUGUAACAUUUACACAUAAGUCCUCAUAUUAUUUACUAACGAUUAGUAAAUACACCAUGCAACUUUUACACAUAAAUACCUCUAAUUUACAACAAUUGCAAAUUAGUCGUUUUACUAAUAAAUUAGUAAACUUUAGUAUUUAACUAUAUUAUAAUUAUAAUUAAUCCAUCCGAUAAACUUCUUUUAUCGUCUCCUAAAUAUCGAUCAUGCGCGAUUUCUUAUGUGUUGACCUAAUAGGUUCAAUUCUGUCUGGUAGUGAGAUAUGAUGCGAUCUCCAUCCACAUCAUCAUCGAAACUCUUUUCGAUGGCUCAAACUCUUUUGAUUCCACCCUAAUAGAAUAAUUAAAUAUUAAUAAUUAUUUCUAUUGGUUCCCACUAUCCACAAGUGAUGCCUAGCAGCAUAUAGUGACAAUCCAGUUAGAAGUGAAUAUCGGACUGAACCUCUAGGUGCAGUUACCGUACAAUACAAUCCUUCUAUCGCAUAGUUCCAACUGAGUGGAGGUCAUGGAAUAUUCGUCAAACCCCAUCACCCGUCAUAUGACAAAUUUGAUCAGACAUAAGCUCUUAUGGUUACUCUUGGAAACAUCUUUCCAUACACCAUAUUACCCCGGCUGAGGAUUUCUGAGCUUUGCCGUACAAAUAGCAUAGAAC